This 368-nucleotide ribosomal RNA is filed under the name uncultured organism. Its description in RNAcentral is "bacterial LSU rRNA". It matches the Rfam family "Bacterial large subunit ribosomal RNA", at positions 2099 to 2465 of the family's 2925-position model. The record is from RNAcentral.
CUUUACUGUAGCCUGGUAUUGGGUUCGGGCUUUGACUGCGCAGGAUAGGUGGGAGACUGAGAAGUGUGCCUUGUGGGGCACAUAGAGUCAACGGUGAGAUACCACUCUGUCAGAGCUAGAAUUCUAACCUUCACCCGUUAUCCGGGGAAGGAACCGUAUCAGGGGGGCAGUUUGACUGGGGCGGUCGCCUCCUAAAGUGUAACGGAGGCGCGCAAAGGUGUUCUCAGGCUGGUUGGAAAUCAGCCGUAGAGUGUAAAGGCAGAAGAACGCUUGACUGUGAGAGUGACAACUCGAGCAGGGUGGAAACACGGCCUUAGUGAUCCGACGGUAUGUGCGUGGAAAUGCCGUCGCUCAACGGAUAAAAGUUA